GACGAACGCUGGCGGCGUGCUUAACACAUGCAAGUCGAACGGAAAGGCCCUGCUUGCAGGGUACUCGAGUGGCGAACGGGUGAGUAACACGUGGGUGAUCUGCCCUGCACUUCGGGAUAAGCCUGGGAAACUGGGUCUAAUACCGGAUAGGAGCCAUUUUUAGUGUGAUGGUUGGAAAGUUUUUUCGGUGUAGGAUGAGCUCGCGGCCUAUCAGCUUGUUGGUGGGGUAAUGUCCUACCAAGGCGGCGACGGGUAGCCGGCCUGAGAGGGUGGACGGCCACAGUGGGACUGAGAUACGGCCCAGACUCCUACGGGAGGCAGCAGUGGGGAAUAUUGCACAAUGGGCGCAAGCCUGAUGCAGCGACGCCGCGUGGGGGAUGACGGCCUUCGGGUUGUAAACUCCUUUCGCUAGGGACGAAGCUUUUUGUGACGGUACCUAGAUAAGAAGCACCGGCUAACUACGUG
RNAcentral lists this ribosomal RNA (465 nucleotides) under uncultured bacterium. RNAcentral describes it as "partial 16S ribosomal RNA". It matches the Rfam family "Bacterial small subunit ribosomal RNA", at positions 28 to 507 of the family's 1533-position model. The record is from RNAcentral.